Molecule: long non-coding RNA, 649 nt
Organism: Triticum aestivum (bread wheat)
Lineage: Eukaryota; Viridiplantae; Streptophyta; Magnoliopsida; Poales; Poaceae
Exons: 3
Source: RefSeq, a predicted model, not a curated record
CCGCUAUUUAUACUCUCUCCAGGCCCAACACCGGCCGGUCCACUUCUCCCUCGUAAGGCAGCAGCCAUCUGCAACUAGGGUUCAUAACUUCAUAUAUAGCCAGUGACCAACAUGAGUGAUCGAAGGUACGGGUACUCGUACCCACACAACCAAGGGUAUUACAACGGACCACCGGUGAUGGCGCCGCCGCAGUACGCCCCGCCGCCGAGACGGCAGACGGGCUUCCUCGAAGGAUGCCUGGCUGCUCUGUGCUGCUGCUGCCUCGUCGACGAGUGCUGCUGCGACCCGUCCAUCAUAUUCGUGAGCUGAUCGAAACACGUACGCUAUCCAGACGACGGCCGACCGACCGACCGACCGACGAACCAUCCGAGCCGAGCUACGUACCUAACGUACUGGUAGUAGUACAUGUGCGAUUUAUAUAUGCGUGUCGUGUGUAUGUGUGCUUCCCUUGAGCUGUUGCUUUCAGCUAUAGCUAUACAUAUGCUCCUAGAGGCCUAGACCAAAGUAGAACUGCAGAAAGAAUAGCCAGCCCGUCCUGCCGUUCGGUUCAGCUCUCCAGCGGCACGACGGGUGGGUGGUGUAUGUAUGCAUGUAUCUGAUGUGAGUCUACGAAUAAUAUGAUGAGGAAAAAGAGAAGUUCAGCACCUUC